RNAcentral lists this long non-coding RNA (523 nucleotides) under Musa acuminata (dwarf banana). RNAcentral's name for it is "long non-coding RNA (MACU_LNC009140)". The record is from RNAcentral. Lineage: Eukaryota; Viridiplantae; Streptophyta; Magnoliopsida; Zingiberales; Musaceae.
CUCUUCCCUUUUCCUCCCCAAGGCCACACAUCUCCUCGCUGCAGCCUUGCCGCAGCUAUCCUCCUCUCUUCUUCUUCUUCUUCUUCUUCUUCUUCUUCUUCUUCUUCUUCCCUUUUCAUCCUCAACGCCCCACACAUCCUCUCCUCUGUUUCCACCUGCGGGAAACAGAGGUGCUGCAGCCCUAGCUGCUGCAGCUGCCUCUCUUUCUCCUCUCCAUCUUCCCUCUCUUCUACUUCUUCUUUUCUUCUCUUCUCCCUCUUCUUCCUCUCUUCUUUUCCCUCUUCUUCUCUUCUCCCUCUACUUCUCUUCUUCUUCUCCCCACGCCCCACCGCUUCUCUCUGUUUCUCGAAGAAACAGAGAGAGCGUGGGAGGCGGUGGGAUAAAACCGAAGUUUUCGGUUUUCUUUAUUUUCUUCUUUUUACAACUUAACAGUUUAGUCCUUGAAAUUUCCAUAUUUACAUAUAGGUCCUCCGAUUUAUAAAUAAAUCUUUAUUAAUAAGUUUCAAAAGUGAGGGAUAUUACA